Molecule: long non-coding RNA, 517 nt
Organism: Tachyglossus aculeatus (Australian echidna)
Lineage: Eukaryota; Metazoa; Chordata; Mammalia; Monotremata; Tachyglossidae
Exons: 3
Source: RefSeq, a predicted model, not a curated record
CCUUUCCUUGGCGGGAUUAAAUUCCAUCUGGUAUUUUGCCUCACAACUAGGGUACGGGUAUUGCGAGGUUGCACUGAAAUUGGGCUGAAGUCUGUAAAGACAAAGAGUAAAGGUGGCCAACGUUUGGAGCAGUUUCUGCAAAGCAAGCUGAAUUAGUCAUUUUCCAAUAGGAUCGAUACCUAGGGACAUCAACAAGCUGGGAGGCUGGGCACACCAGAGCGUUGGGAUCUAAGAUUUGCUGGAGAUUUGAGGAGGAGGUGGAAACUAUUGGCUCUAACGACAUUUCUGAAGAUCUGUCUGAAAUUUUCAUGCUAUUCCUGUCCCCCACUGCCAUGGAUAAUUGAAAGCUGGCUGUAGCGUGGCACUCCAUAUUCAGACUUGGAUUCACCAACAUGGUGACUUACUAAAGCAAAAAAUAGACUUUUCGCAUUUGCAAGUCAAUAAUGAGGGGAAUGAACAGGAGCACAAGGACCCUCUCGUGUAUCCUGUUAAUAAGAAAUCUGCUUCUGUGUUUCUA